RNAcentral lists this ribosomal RNA (253 nucleotides) under uncultured bacterium. RNAcentral describes it as "partial 16S ribosomal RNA". It matches the Rfam family "Bacterial small subunit ribosomal RNA", at positions 524 to 776 of the family's 1533-position model. The record is from RNAcentral.
UACGUAGGGUGCAAGCGUUAAUCGGAAUUACUGGGCGUAAAGCGUGCGCAGGCGGCCAAGCAAGACAGAUGUGAAAUCCCCGGGCUCAACCUGGGAACUGCAUUUGUGACUGCUUGGCUAGAGUACGGCAGAGGGGGAUGGAAUUCCGCGUGUAGCAGUGAAAUGCGUAGAUAUGCGGAGGAACACCGAUGGCGAAGGCAAUCCCCUGGGCCUGUACUGACGCUCAUGCACGAAAGCGUGGGGAGCAAACAGG